CUAUGACUCUCUUAAGGU
Molecule: small nuclear RNA, 18 nt
Filed under: Arabidopsis thaliana (thale cress)
Lineage: Eukaryota; Viridiplantae; Streptophyta; Magnoliopsida; Brassicales; Brassicaceae
Description: snRNA_02215
Source: RNAcentral